AACGCGAAGGAACCUUCCUGGUCUUGCCAUCCACGGAAGUUUUCAGAGAAGGAGAAGGUGCUUUCGGGAACCGGGAGACAGGGCCGGCAUGGCUUUGGCCAGCUCGGUCUGUGAAAUUUUGGGUUAAGUCCCGCAACGAGCGCAACCCUUACCCUUUGUUCAGCGGUCGGCGGGCACUCUAAGGAGACUGCCGUGAAAACGGAGGAAGGUGGGGAUGACGUCAAGUCAUCAUGGCCCUUAGCCGGGCUACACACGUGCUACAAUGGUACAAAGGGCAAUCGCGAGGUCAAGCAAUCUCAUAAAGCUCGUAGUCCGGAUUGAGUCUGCAACUCGACCUGAAGUCGGAAUCGCUAGUAAUCGG
RNAcentral lists this ribosomal RNA (361 nucleotides) under uncultured Shigella sp. RNAcentral's name for it is "bacterial SSU rRNA". It matches the Rfam family "Bacterial small subunit ribosomal RNA", at positions 958 to 1345 of the family's 1533-position model. Lineage: Bacteria; Pseudomonadati; Pseudomonadota; Gammaproteobacteria; Enterobacterales; Enterobacteriaceae. The record is from RNAcentral.